This 317-nucleotide long non-coding RNA is filed under the name Brassica rapa (field mustard). RNAcentral's name for it is "long non-coding RNA (BRAP_LNC006987)". Lineage: Eukaryota; Viridiplantae; Streptophyta; Magnoliopsida; Brassicales; Brassicaceae. The record is from RNAcentral.
UUGAGAAAAAGAUGAAAGCUUUCAGAUCUCUACGAAUACUUAUUUCCACCUCACGAACAGCUACGACACCUCGCUGUAAACCCCAUCUCACUCACACCUUCCUCCGCAGGUUCUACUCGGCGCAGCCGAACCUAGACGAACCCACCUCCGUCAACGGAGACGAACCCACCGGCGACUCCGUUUUCGAUAGCAGUCAAUACUCAAUCCCUGGAACCGAAGAUUCCUCGAAAAAGCAAAAGCAACCUAAUUGGGAUAAAGGGUACAGGGAAAGGGUACAGAGGGAGCUGUUUCCGGAAGAGAAAGGUAAAUCGAAAUCU